Molecule: unclassified non-coding RNA, 253 nt
Filed under: uncultured fungus
Lineage: Eukaryota; Fungi
Description: partial contains 5.8S ribosomal RNA, internal transcribed spacer 2, and large subunit ribosomal RNA
Rfam family: 5.8S ribosomal RNA (bases 1-52)
Source: RNAcentral
AACGCACAUUGCGCCCCUCGGUAUUCCGGGGGGCAUGCCUGUUCGAGCGUCAUUAACACCACUCAAGCCUCGUCUUGGAAUUGGGCGUCUCGCGGGGUCAAACCCGCGCGCCUCAAUGUCUUCGGCCGAGCCGUCCGUCUCUAAGCGUUGUGGAAACAGUUUCGCUUGCGAGCGCGGGCCGGUUUGUCAGCCGAUCGAAGCCUUUCUUUCUAAGGUUGACCUCGGAUCAGGUAGGGAUACCCGCUGAACUUAA